GCCAGGGGGCGUCGCGGGGGUCUGCCCAGGCCACCCGCCCUCCGGGCCGCGGCGCGGACUGACCGACGGACGGCGCUGCGUGCCCAAGUCGCCCGGCCAUGUUCAGCCGGAGCUCCCGGAAAAGACUCUCCAGCCGCUCGGUGAGUGUCCUCCACCCGAGCGGGGCCGGCCUCCGGGGACCCGCAGUCGGCCGCGAGCGCCCCUGCCCGGCUCCCCUCCGCCCCGCGGCCGCGCACCUGUGGCCCCAGUUGACCGGACUGGGGCGGAUAGAGCGAGGCCAGCCCUGUAACGUCUGUGGUGACCAGUGCCCCGGGUUCGCCUUGCACAGAUGGAGGUAGGACGCCUUAAACCCGAUCCCUA
RNAcentral lists this long non-coding RNA (360 nucleotides) under Dasypus novemcinctus (nine-banded armadillo). Its description in RNAcentral is "lncRNA (ENSDNOG00000051918.1)". Lineage: Eukaryota; Metazoa; Chordata; Mammalia; Cingulata; Dasypodidae. The record is from RNAcentral.